Long non-coding RNA from Caretta caretta (loggerhead turtle), 3134 nucleotides. RefSeq lists it as uncharacterized. Lineage: Eukaryota; Metazoa; Chordata; Testudines; Cheloniidae. The record is from RefSeq and is a predicted model, not a curated record.
GUCCCUGGAUGGCCUUGCCUACACUAGAGUGUGCUGCAUUAGCCACCACUUAGUCCCCUUCGCACGCCUGUGACGCACUGCACAUUCACAUGCAGGCGUGCUAGCAGUGUACCAUGUGCAUUAGACAUGCUUGGAAUAAGGCCGCGUGGUCCUCCAGUGUGCAGUGCCAGCAAGGACGGGGAUUGCUGGUGUGAGAGCAUCGUUCAUGCAUGCAGCCCUCCUUCUCCCACAGUGCACCUGUCACUGCUUAAAUUGCUUGUCUGGUCUGCCUUCUGCACAGGGGUCAUGUGUGCCAGAAGCCAUGUGCACAACCAGCCCUGUCCACGCCGUGGAGUUACGCGCCAUUAUCCCAGCAAUCAACUCCUUCAGCAGCAAUCAGCUUGAUUCCGCUUCAGUCACAAGCGCGUCUCAGAGGAGGCCUUCCCAUGAGCAUGCUGCCAGCUGGCCAGGAGCCGACAAGCAGGCGCUGGCAAGAUGAGAUCCAAGGCCAGCUGAAUGCUGUCAUAGGAACACUCUGAUCCUCGGCAGUGGUGUCUGAAAAUGCAAGUCAGUUGCAGGAGUAAUGCAUGUUUCCAUCAAAUCCCACAGAACUUUUUAGCCUCUCCAUCCAGGGAGUGGUUCCUUUGAUAUGAUCCAUCACCUGCUACAGAUGUGGGGCUGGAGGACGCGAUCCAUGGUGGAACAGCUAAGAAGCCCAAGGACCAGGAAAAGCAAGGAAAACUAAUACUUGAGACAUGUAGAGGGACCUGAGAAGGGUCUUGGAGUGAAUGAUGGAAGGAGGUAAAAAUGACGCCCGCUUUUAAGAGACUGGACAGGUCCAGGCAGAUGUGGAAUGAGAGGGGAAGGAGACCUGAGACCAGGCAAUUCUAAUGAGAGCUUUUCAAGGACUCAGGCAUCACAUUGAACCUAAUAACUGGCCCUGGCACCUGCCAGAUAUAGGUUAAUAGUGCUCUUUGGAGCACCUCCUACUCUCCAGCUCCUUCAUAGCCCUCACUCCAGGUACUGAACCCCUCUGCCACAGUCACCUAAGAGGACUAGAAUCCCCAGUUAGAUGGGCAAGAUGCACCUGUAAAAUAUUCAGUUACCAUUGUUCGUGUAACUGUGUUACUCUGCUUUGCCAUUGCAGCUGGCCUGAAUUUUUGUUGGUGUAUAAUAAAGCAGAAUCUGGGGAAAGUCUGUGUAAUGAGCACAAUCAAUCAUGCUGGUCUUUAAUACCAAAAACAACAACAGUUCACUCCUCCAUUCUCUCUAGGAACGCAGCCACGCAUCCCGAAAGAGCGCCCACUGGUACGGAACACGCCACCCCGUAUGUUAAGUAACAUAGGUCACUGAACACAUCACUCAAGUACACCACUCUCUGCACUGCCUCAGACUCCAGUUCAAGGUCGCUGUCCUGAUAUUCAAAGCCCUCUUUUGGAAUUGCUCAUAGCUACACAACAAGUCAGCUCUCUCCACGACCAUGACCUCUCACAGCAGCUGCGUUCCAUUGGAACAAUGAGACAUGACUGUGGGAUGUGUGUGUGGUGGGGGGACUCUGAAAUGUUAGGGGGAAUAGCAGUUGUACUAUGGAAUAGCAGUUAGUACAAUAGCAAAUAGUCCUGGAGCUGUGGGGCAAAGCUGAAGCCAAGACAGCACGGCUAUGGCGGAGAUGUUGCAGUGUUGGUACUUAGGUUGGGCGCUAUGCUACUGGUUCAGUCUCUAGUGUAGACCCAGCCAGGCCGUGCGUAUGCACAUCCAUCUAUCUAGAUAUUAGUUAUCUCACUCCAAGGCUGCAGCUGCAUCCCUUUGCCGAGCUGUCAUUGGUCAGAAAUGAUGUCAUUGCUUCCAGUGCUGGGUGGCGGUGCAUUGCUAUUGGUGGAGGGGCAGAGAUGCUGUUGUCAGCUGGAAAGGCUCCAGUCAUUCAUGUGGAGUUCAGGGCAUGUUCACUCUGUGGGCUUGGACACAUAGAUGGAGAUAAAGAUCUGGCAGAGCCAGGUGAGCGCUUGGGGCUCACUUUUAACCCUGCAUUGCUGGGACAUAACACCACAUUCCCUGCAGUGUCCCAGCAAGAGAGACCGUAGCUGGUUUAACUCAUGCAGUGCUGGGUCAGAGUGGCUAAAGCACCUUUCUUUAACCCAUGCACUGAUGAGCCAGAGCUGUAUGUCCUGUGGAUGUUCCUUCCAGAUUCCUCAGCAAAGGUCUGGAACAAUCAGAAGAGAAGCUGUCCCCAGAAAAUCCUGCCCAGGUUUUACACUGAGACCAGUGCUUGCAGUGACACGGCUUUUGGGAUUUAGACUGGUCUCUGCCUACACUCACACAGUGCAGACAGGAUCACUGAAGCUCAGAGGGCUAUACCUCCCAGUUCUGGAGAGUCCUCACGAUUUAAGGAGCUCCAAGUUACCUGGGACAUAAGCCGUGGACUUGUGAUAUGGUGCCUACCCCACACAGCUGAUGAAAGGACUAAAGUGGACCGGAGAGUCCACACAAUUAACCCACCUGGUUGCACCUGGAGGGUUGGCUAGGCCUAAUGAAUGAUGAAACCUAGCUGGGGAGGGACUAGGUGAUGCUAUAAAGAGAGGAAGUGUAGCAUAUAAUGGAGGGGGUGCAGGGAGGAACUCUGCAACUAAUCUUUUGUUACUAGGGAGGGACCAGACCUAUAAGAAAAAGCUCCUGGAGGAUGAGAAGAAAGGCUUGGUAGGAAUACAUCCAGGGAGGCAGUAUCAGAGAGUCUGUUGGAAUGACCUUUCACUGCCUUCCUAGGGCCCUGGACUGGAGCCUAGUAUGGAGGGUGGGCCUGCAUUCCACUGCCAGCCCCUGGUAAGGUGGUACAAAGCCCAAGAAAAGGGGUGUAUAACCUACUGGGCUCAGACUCAAGGGUGGCAGACCAGGUAGAGGGAUUGGACACUGGUUUGUUACUCUAUUACCCUGGAAGGGGUGAGACUACAUGUGACUCAGCGGGAGGGCUGAAUCCUGAGAAGUAGACCACUACAGGGCCAGACUGGCUGUUAACAGGGGCUGCUACAGCCGAAGAUACUGCUACACUGUGCCCAGCCAGGAGGGGGCGUGCCAGCGGUAAGUCAUCCCUUCCACAAAGUGGUGUUUUUAAACCCAUACUGUACUAGAUUACUCUCCUCUGAAUUUCCAGUCAAAUGCAG